CCAAACUUGGUCAUUUAGAGGAAGUAAAAGUCGUAACAAGGUCUCCGUUGGUGAACCAGCGGAGGGAUCAUUAUAGAGUUAUACAACUCCCAACCCAUGUGAACUUACCACUGUUGCCUCGGCGGUAUCUGCCCUGUAGCUACCCCGUAGCUGCCCUGCGGCGGGCCGCCGGUGGACUUCUAAACUAUUGUUAUUUUUGUAUUCUGAGCGUCUUAUUUUAAUAAGUCAAAACUUUCAACAACGGAUCUCUUGGUUCUGGCAUCGAUGAAGAACGCAGC
RNAcentral lists this unclassified non-coding RNA (278 nucleotides) under uncultured fungus. Its description in RNAcentral is "partial contains small subunit ribosomal RNA, internal transcribed spacer 1, and 5.8S ribosomal RNA". The stretch from base 1 to 73 matches the Rfam family "Eukaryotic small subunit ribosomal RNA", at positions 1759 to 1831 of the family's 1831-position model. Lineage: Eukaryota; Fungi. The record is from RNAcentral.